UAACGAAGCACUCUGGUUACUCCUUGGCAGAGGGGGAGCACUGUGCUGGGGGGAAUCGCACUCAUCUGGACUGCCUGGAUUCCUCGGAGCCAGCAGGUGGAAAGACUAAGUCUGCUGAUACACAGAGAAUGUGGUUGCCCCUUCUCUCAGUGACUCAGUCCCAGGGAGAUCAGAGGCCCUGGUGGCAUGGGCUCACAAGGGGGAUCUCCUGAUCUGUAGGCUGCACAGAUCUGUGGGAAAAGUGUGGUUUCCCAGACAGGGUAGCAUGAUCUCUCACUGCCUCCCUUGGCUGAGGGUGGGAGUUCCCCUUGCCCCGUGUGGCUCCCAGGUGGGCCGUCACACCACUCUACUUUUCCUCACUCUUCAUGAGUCACACCAACCACCUAGUCAGUCCAAAUGAGAGAACCUGGAUACCUCUGUUGACGAUGCAGGAUUCACUUGCCAUUUUGUUCUUCUCUUCGUGGGAACCUCCGAUGACAGCUGUUUCUAGCUCAAGCUGGAAGGGACUUGUCUUAGAUGAGAGUUUGGACUUGGACUUUUGAGUUAAUGGAGGAAUCCAGUGGGAGGUAAUUGAAAUAUGGGGGCAGGUUUUUCCCAUGCUCUUCUUGUGAUAGUGAAUAAGUUUCACAAUAUCUGAUUGUUUUAUAAAGGGCAGUUUCCCUGCACACACACUCUUGCCUGCUGCCAUGUAAGACAUGCCUUUUCUCCUCCUUUGCCUUCUGCCAUGAUUGUGAGUCCACCCAAGCCGUGUAGAACAGUGAGUCCAUUAAACCUCUUUUUCUUUACAAAUUACCCAGUACUGGGUAUGUCCUUAUUAGCAGUGUGAAAAGGAGCUAAUACAGUGUGAGAGUGUUUUUAGAAAAGAUUAGCAUUUGAAUUGCUAGACCUAGUAAAAAAUAUUUUCUUCAGCAUUGUGGGUGAGCAUCAUCCAAUUUAUAGACAGCCUAGAUAGAACAAAAAGGCAGAGGAAGGGCAAAUUGACUCUCUGUGCUUAAGCAGAGACAUCCAUCUUCUCCUGCCCUUGGACAUGGGUGCUUUUUAUUUUCCAUCCUUUGGACUUGUACCAGAUCUUACACUAUUGUUCCCCAGUUCUUAGGCCUUUGGAUUUCGAGUAGGAUUUACACCCACUCCCCAUUCUUAGGUCUUUGGAAUUGGAAUAGGACUCACACCAUUGGCUCCCUGGUUCUCAGGCCUUUGGGCUUCAACUGUAACUAUACCAUGGCUUUCCAUAAUCUCCAGCUUGCAGACAGUAGAUUGCAGGACUUCUCAGACUCCAUAAUUACACAAGCAAAUUCUGCAUACUAAAUCUCUUUCCAUAUUUCUAAAUAUAUCCCAUUGAUUCUAUUUCUCCGGAAAGCCCCAACUAGUACAAAAGAAACCCAUUUCUUCAGAUUUCAAUCAAAAUAUGUAACAAUCUUUUUUACUUUUUGUAGCUAAGUCAUUUUAUCAAAAGCAAAAGACAGCUGGACUGUGUAAGUGGUAAAUUUGGAGGUGUCAGCUUGAGGAGACCAUGAAGAGAUUUUGAAGGGCUGACACUAUUAUGAAUUGAUCAGGAAAAAUUUUUUUUUUUUAAUUUUCCAGUUACAUGGUUAACCCUAAAGGCAAGAAAGAUAUAACCCUGCUAGUAUAGCUUGUUAUUUUAUGAGGUAAAAGAUGAAUGGCUUUAAUGAGCAAGCAUUGAAACGUUUGAACUCUCCUUCAAAGAAAAGGGAAAAUGAAAAGUAGUUGUUAAGCACAGACAACAUGCAAGGAAGGCACUGCAGUAGACCUAUGGCCCUAAGAGUCUGUGACCAGACACCAUUUCCAUGCAUCUAUCCACCAGAGUCCUAGUCUUGCUCUACCCUUAGGAGAUCAGAGACACAUGUCCAAAGUGCAAAUCAAAAGAAUAUAGUAGAGUGCAAAGAGCUUCAGCCUAAGAUUUACAUUAGAGAUUUACUGCUUGGAUCUCAGGUAAGUGCUUUAACUUCUCUAGAUCUUGAUUUCCUAAUCUGCAGCAUGGGAAUAAUAAUGCUCGUCUUAUAUCUCACAGGGCCAAUACUGUGUUAAAAGUAGAAAUAACAGGUGAGAAUGUUGACAAAAGUAAAACCAUAACAUAGAUGCCUGGUCCUGUAGUAAUGAGGCUUGGACUGGAGAAGACAUUAAAGUUUAUUCCAGUUGGGCCACAUCAUGAAACUGGAGAGGUGUGAUGGGUGCAGCAUGAACCAGGACAGAGGAAAGCAGAGAGAAGGUGCUCCACACUGAUGAAGCAGCCAGAGGAAUGGGCCUUGGCAGUGGAGGGGAACAUCUGGGCUCAGGCUCUAGACACGGUCUGCAAUUUAAAAACUGGAUUGUGAUGAGAAGCAUCUGGAGUCUGAUAAAGGCUAAUUACAGUUAAGAAAUAUGAAAAUUGAGAACUCAGGAGAAGAUCAGCUUCUACUACUGCCUGGGCAGAAUAAUCAAGAAAUUAGCACAAACUGAUGGUGACCAUAAAGAGACACUAGAGGAUAAUUGAAGUAUUAACAUUAAAGAUAUUCUGGCAAGUGGUUUGUCCCUUGAGAGUCCAGGCCGUCUUCCUUGCUACAGGACAUAAUACGACUGAAGAGCUUUUCAACAAAGCAAUGGGGGCUCUGUAGGAGGGUUGCCUCAUAAGCUUGGGCUGAGGCUGGGGCAGAGGGAUGCUGGUUAAUGAGUAGGCUUUUCUGCAUGAAGCAUGAGGACCCUGGUUGGGCCCCACACUUUCAGGGUUGCUCUAACAAAGUAAAGCAAGUACAGAGAAUGGCAAUCAGAGAGAAGGGUCUGAACUCACAGCAUGGGAAAACCUUUAGAGAUGGCCAGGCUUUUUGUUGGUUGGGAAAUGGCUCUAGAUGAAUACAGUUGGCAUUUUCAGUUAUUUUAGUGAAGACAUCAUGAGGAGAGGAGAUUGUACAUAGUCUCUAGACUACCAAAGGAAUAGCUAAAACUACAUUUAAAACAUUUUUAACCAAACAUUGUUGAGCUCCUUUCACGCGCCAUACAAGGGACCUACGGUUUCC
RNAcentral lists this long non-coding RNA (3011 nucleotides) under Homo sapiens (human). RNAcentral describes it as "HSALNT0287212". Lineage: Eukaryota; Metazoa; Chordata; Mammalia; Primates; Hominidae. The record is from RNAcentral.